RNAcentral lists this ribosomal RNA (550 nucleotides) under uncultured bacterium. RNAcentral's name for it is "bacterial SSU rRNA". It matches the Rfam family "Bacterial small subunit ribosomal RNA", at positions 355 to 896 of the family's 1533-position model. The record is from RNAcentral.
UAGGGAAUCUUCCACAAUGGGCGCAAGCCUGAUGGAGCAACACCGCGUGAGUGAAGAAGGGUUUCGGCUCGUAAAGCUCUGUUGUUAAAGAAGAACACGUAUGAGAGUAACUGUUCAUACGUUGACGGUAUUUAACCAGAAAGUCACGGCUAACUACGUGCCAGCAGCCGCGGUAAUACGUAGGUGGCAAGCGUUAUCCGGAUUUAUUGGGCGUAAAGAGAGUGCAGGCGGUUUUCUAAGUCUGAUGUGAAAGCCUUCGGCUUAACCGGAGAAGUGCAUCGGAAACUGGAUAACUUGAGUGCAGAAGAGGGUAGUGGAACUCCAUGUGUAGCGGUGGAAUGCGUAGAUAUAUGGAGGAACACCAGUGGCGAAGGCGGCUACCUGGUCUGCAACUGACGCUGAGACUCGAAAGCAUGGGUAGCGAACAGGAUUAGAUACCCUGGUAGUCCAUGCCGUAAACGAUGAGUGCUAGGUGUUGGAGGGUUUCCGCCCUUCAGUGCCGGAGCUAACGCAUUAAGCACUCCGCCUGGGGAGUACGACCGCAAGGUUG